CAUUGACACGCUCCAGACAUCUGGGCUCUGAGCUCCCGUGGGCUGGGGUGCCCUGGACAGAGCUGGGAGGGAGCCUUGGGAGCAGCCGAGAGGGAGCUGGUGGUGGGCCACCGCGGGCGGAGGGAAGGAGUUGGGCGAGAAGAAGCGAAAUUUAAAGUGGAUGAAUUAUUUACUGCAGCAAACAAUUCCGGACUCACUUACUCUCGCUGGGCGCAUCCCCAGCUGUAAUCUGCGGCAUUUUUCACGUCUCCCCGGGGGGCCGCGGGGUUUUCUUUACGAUUGGACGCCAGGGCCGGAUCGGCUCAGUAUCGAUCACCGUCCUCCGCUCCAGGCCCCCGCCCACCCUGGACACUGCCCGCAGCCUGGACCACACCCCAGGCGGCCCGGGCUGGGUGGUGCGGCUGACGAGGGGUCGGGACCCAGGUGGGCAGUUGGAGCCCCCGGAUGGAGGCCACUCGCCAUCGUUGGUCUCGGCCCUCGGCGGUCACUCAAUGCGCCUCCUGUCCUUAUCUCAGCAGGACCCUGAGGCGGAGAUUAUUAAUCCCAUUUUUCAGACACCAGAGUAGCUGCUCGACACCAGCCCCUCCCGGGUCCUGGCCCAGCGAUGCCUGUGCUUUAUCACCUCGUCGUCUCCUCACAGCAGCCUGGUCACGGAGAGGCCCAGAGAGGCCACCUGGUCUGCCUGGAGUCACACGGACUCUCCACAGCUCCUGUGCUCAAGAGCAGCGGGAGUCUCAAGGCCAGAGACGCUGUCGCUUUCCUCAACCACCCGCCACACACCACCUCACUCCCCAGCGCCCUUCCCAGAGGGCGGAGGCGCAUCCUGGAGGGACAGCAGCCAGGGGCAGCCGCUGGCCCAGUGGGGACCGUGCACCUGGCCGGGAGCUGGCUGCUCUGGAGUCUUUACUUCCCCCUCGAACCCUCACCCCAAACCUGUGAUGUGGAGAGCACCCCCAUCCCAGAGACGGGACGAGGCCUGGAGCCGGUGUGGCCUCCCCGUCCUCAGGCACCCAGGAGCAGGUGGCCCAGCUCCCCGGGGCCUGGCUCCGGGAACUGGCUCACUUCCCUGGUUCUCAGGGGGCUGUGAAGACUCCACGUUCCGAGUAGCCAGGCCCAGGCUGGGGGGUGACCAGCUCCUCCGGGCCCAACACAUGGGGUCCCUCUGCAGCGGCCGCCUUUGAGCUGUCGCCAGGGCGUGUCCCGAGUUUGGGGCCUCUCCUUCCUCAGUCCCCUGGGCCCUGGCCUCACCUGCAUGCUGUCCCUGCCAGAAUGAAGACCGGUGACAGCCCUCGGCGGUUCGCAUCCAGGGAGCCAGAGGAGGAGCUGGGGAGUGGCGGGGACGUGCCUGGGACACCCACCGUGGGUGGGCUUCCUCAGAGGCUGCCUCCGAGGCCGGUCCAGUCUGCUCACCUCCAGCUCAUCUCAUCCGCCAGCCUGGCCGGCCUGGGGACAGUGACCUCCCCAGACUGGCCUCCCCUUCCAGGGUGAGUCCCUCCCCACAGUCCCAGCCGCCCGGUGACAUCUCCCGCCUGUUCACUGUGAGACCCUUGCUCGCCGCCACCUGCGCACCUGCCAUCCCAGGCACUGCAGAGACAGCAGGGGACAGAGGGGUGACACCUGUGGAGCUCUGAGAGCAGCAGUCUGCUGGUCCCCGGGCUGCCGGCCAAGACAAGGAUGUAGAAGGUGGGGUGCCCAGCCAGGGCGUCCGCAGAGAGAAUUGGGGGUCGGUGAAGACCACACGUUUUGUUUCACUAACCCUUAACUGAAGCACAGUGUUUCUCUUUAAUUGUGAACGCUGGUGACACGUCAUGCCGGUCUUAAGAGUGCCUGUGACUUUGUCCUAUCACAUUAGAGCUGCUGCAGACCUAUCAAAGCCUCAUCGGCCGCCAUUGCUGCUUCCGAGCCGUGGAGGCUGACGGAGCCAGCGCCAGAUCUUGUUGUUGACCGCACUGAUAAAGAGGCGCGUCGAGUGUCCUGUCACAUUGGUCUGUGACUAGAAUCUGCCUUGCUCCUGAAAGGCUUUGAGGCGGGUUACAAGAGCACACAGAUGAACAGACACAGCCCUGCUGACAGGGCGGACAGUCUCGCGGGGAAGACAGAUGAGUCAACAAUCCAGUAUCACGUCCUGGGAGGGCGCAGGGGCACGGAUGCCGGGCGGCUCAACAUGGCCUCCAGUGAUCCCGGUGUGCACUGAACCAGCGUCCCCGAGUGACGACCUGACACAGCCACCUUCCUCUUGCCCCUGGCUGGGCUGGGAAACCAAGAUGUCCACUGCUGGGAUGCAUGUGGCCACGUCCCCCCCUCCAAGUUCAGGCCGUGUGUGGAGCUGCUCCUGAAGUCACUGUCCUGUGUCCAGAGGCCGCGCAGGCUGUCUGUGUGUUUACGCCUGGGAGUCCCCAGGGCUGGGGGCGGGAGGCUGCCGUGUCCAGUGCAGCCACAACCCACGACCCCUUCCACAGCCCGGGGCUGCGAGGUGGGACGGCGAGGGCGGGAGCUCAGCCAGGGCACAGAGGAGCGGCCAGGCUGCGGGGAGAAUUCGGUCUUUUCAGAGCAGACCUUUGAAAUGGAGCAAGAAUAACUUUAAACAAUAAGAUGCUUCUCUCCCCCGGCUGUUGCCCAGGCAACGCCAGAGUGCUCAACAACUAUUUAGUUUUUUAAGAAACCAAAUCUCCCUCCCUCGGUCAGCUCCCGCCAGGAAGAUGAAGAGGCGGUGGAGGCGCCCCUCGCGGCCCAUUGUGCGGGAACCCGGGUCAGCCGCCUGCAGCAGUGACAUUUAAAUCUGACGUUACACAUUAUAUAUGAACCCCGGCUGCACUCCUCUGUGGCUGGUGCUGCUGAACUGGGGCGGCCGCAGGCGCCCAGCCCAGACUCCGUGCCCAUGUGCUACUUUGGCAGUUUGGGGGUCACAGACCCGGCUGAUCUCUGCCCGCCAAGCGUCUGGUAGCUGGUAAGAGUGCGCGGUGGUGACGUGUCCCAGCCCUCUCCAUCACUGCCCGAGAGAGUCAGGGGUGGCCUUGUGCAGCUGGGGACUGUGCAGCCCCCAGCAGGGGCCUGACGGAGAAUACCAGCUCCCAAGGCAAACUGGUGCUGCUGUCUCUGGGCCUCCAACAACCGGCCAGGAGGCUUCCUGUUAUCCCCAAACGACACCGAUUAAAAAAAGGUGCCUAGCGUUCUGAAGAAGAUGCUAGAUGUCAGUUCUUACCAAGGAGACCCUUCGGUACCCAAGGGUGUAGGUGUCUCCGUGAGCCCAUUUCUCCAGACAUGGAAACAGAGGCUCCACUGAGACAAGCCAGAGUUGGGCAGGAUUUGAACCCAGCUCAGUCUAGCUUCAGGGCCUGGGGAGGCCCUGUGACCUGGGGACAGGUGAGUGGACCUCUCCUGGUUCCUGGGGCUUGGCCGAUGGUGCUGUCCUAGAGGGGGACCAACUUUCCUCCGUGGAAGGAGGAGGAGGAGCUUUGGCAACACCAAGUUCUGGGCUGUGCGUCCUUGGGUGAGUUGAUGCACGUGAAGCUCGUUUUGCUCAUCUGUAAAGUGGGGUAACACUCCAUGGGAGCUCGGCAGUGAAGAGGGAUCAGCAGCCACCGAGGCGCUGGUCUCACUCAGUGUCUGCAGUGCUCACCUCAGACACAGUAGCUUUAUGACCGCUGUCAGUGUGGAGAGGGAGCCCGUGGCGCAUGGCGGUGGGGUCGGACGCUGGAAGUUACAGCUGAUGGGCGCAACCAUGAGCUCAGGCAGGCCCUGGAGCGUAGUAGGUGUAGAGCGGCCUUGGCUUGCUUCUCCCUGGAAGAUAAAUGGAGGGGCUCUGUCUCCCAGGAAACAAAACAUGGGAGAAAGUUAAAUUUAGAAAAGCCCAGCCAGGUUAGAAGGAGCGCCUUAUCCAGCCCGCAGCGGCUGGGAGGGGAACCUGCUUCAGCUGGGGAGUCCGAGCCAGGACAGGAUUGGCGGCCGGCCUCGCCUGGGGGGCCUCCUGGGGGACUGCCCUGGAUCUGGGCUCCUGGCAGGCAGUGUGGGGGUGGCCGCUGGCAGCUGCUGGAGUGGAGAAGUCCCUCACCUGAGACAGGUGACCUUGCCCUGUCUGAGAAUCCCUGGAGGCUGCACUGAGUCCCUGGCAAUGACAGGGAACACAGGCUGAUGACAAGCCACCAAGUGCAGAAUAACGUUUCCUCGCUGACGCUUUGGCCACCUCUCCCUGGGCCCUCUCUCUAGGAAGCCCAGCAGUUGCUCUUCCUCCACUUCCCAGCUCCCCCGUGAUUCCCGCCCCCCACCCCAGCACGUCUGGGUGGGGGAUAGCAUUUAACGCCACUAAAUGGCAAGCCCAGAGGUGCGGCGGGGGAAGGGCCAGGCACUGAACUCCCAUCGGCUUCCUUCGAGAGAUCACUGCCUUAAUUUACGAGGCCGGAGUGAGUCUCAUUUCCCCAGUGCGCGCUGAGUAAUUAACUAUUAAUAAAAGCAUUACUGAGUUAA
Molecule: non-coding RNA, 4464 nt
Organism: Ictidomys tridecemlineatus (thirteen-lined ground squirrel)
Lineage: Eukaryota; Metazoa; Chordata; Mammalia; Rodentia; Sciuridae
Source: RefSeq, a predicted model, not a curated record